CGUGGCUCGUCCUUUUUGGA
This 20-nucleotide non-coding RNA is filed under the name Arabidopsis thaliana (thale cress). Lineage: Eukaryota; Viridiplantae; Streptophyta; Magnoliopsida; Brassicales; Brassicaceae. The record is from RNAcentral.